Molecule: ribosomal RNA, 253 nt
Filed under: uncultured bacterium
Lineage: Bacteria
Description: partial 16S ribosomal RNA
Rfam family: Bacterial small subunit ribosomal RNA
Source: RNAcentral
UACGUAGGGUGCAAGCGUUGUCCGGAAUUAUUGGGCGUAAAGAGCUCGUAGGCGGUCUGUCGCGUCGGCUGUGAAAACCCGGGGCUCAACCCCGGGCCUGCAGUCGAUACGGGCAGACUAGAGUGCGGUAGGGGAGACUGGAAUUCCUGGUGUAGCGGUGAAAUGCGCAGAUAUCAGGAGGAACACCGGUGGCGAAAGCGGGUCUCUGGGCCGUAACUGACGCUGAGGAGCGAAAGCGUGGGGAGCGAACAGG